Molecule: long non-coding RNA, 239 nt
Filed under: Bos taurus (domestic cattle)
Lineage: Eukaryota; Metazoa; Chordata; Mammalia; Artiodactyla; Bovidae
Description: long non-coding RNA NONBTAT020279
Source: RNAcentral
CUAAAUUCAUCAUCACUCUUAAUAUUUCUGUGGGAAUAAGCCUAACAGCACCAUACAACCCAGAUCUCACAUAACCCAUUUUCAGGAUUAUGGCUACAAAUAUUUCUAUCAACAUGUGUCUGUUACUAAUUUUCACUUAGUACCAAACUCUAUACAUGUCUAGUCAACCUUCAGUUAAUCUAAUUGUUCAUUCAGAAAGCAUGUAACUCACUGAUCAGCUGUUACAUUCCUGAACAUUG